ACAAACCUUCGGGGCAGGGUGAGGUAGAGAAAUCUUCCGAUUCCCGAUCGGUGGUAUAACCCACGAGCGCGCCAGCGCAUGAUCCGGUGAAAUUCCGGAGUCGACGGUAUAGUCCGGACGAAAGAAGGUCGCA
This 133-nucleotide non-coding RNA is filed under the name Ornatilinea apprima. RNAcentral's name for it is "FMN sequence". It matches the Rfam family "FMN riboswitch aptamer (RFN element)". Rfam says of the family: The RFN element is a highly conserved domain that is found frequently in the 5'-untranslated regions of prokaryotic mRNAs that encode for flavin mononucleotide (FMN) biosynthesis and transport proteins. This element is a metabolite-dependent riboswitch that directly binds FMN in the absence of proteins. Lineage: Bacteria; Bacillati; Chloroflexota; Anaerolineae; Anaerolineales; Anaerolineaceae. The record is from Rfam by way of RNAcentral.